RNAcentral lists this long non-coding RNA (1518 nucleotides) under Takifugu rubripes (torafugu). RNAcentral's name for it is "lncRNA (ENSTRUG00000030111.1)". Lineage: Eukaryota; Metazoa; Chordata; Actinopteri; Tetraodontiformes; Tetraodontidae. The record is from RNAcentral.
UGUUAUUCUGUCAUUUACAGUGAAUUGUGCAUUCCGUCGUCUUUUUAUUCUACAAUUUGAAUUUACCUGGAAUUCGCCCUUCCCUCCUUGGAAGGGCGAAUUCCAUGACUGUCCUGUCCGUGGCUGAAAGGGCAGCAUGAAGACAUGGAGUGAGAAAAGGAAGUGCAGAGAAUAUUAAAAGCAGAGCAAAUAUUUAUGAACAUGGAUGUGGAAGUUUAAGAUUUUAGUAUUAUGAAACGUAGUCAGUUCUAUUUAUAGUUCAGUGAUAAACGCCAGUUUGCCCCUCAGAUAUUAUUUUAAAUUAAACCCUGUGAGUUUAAAUUGUUGGAAAUAGGAAACAAAGUUGUUGUUUUUUAAAAUAAUCAAUUAAGAAGGGUCCUACAAUUAAAUAUUGAUGGAUUACUUCCCAGCUAGUUAGUGGCAUAGUUUUGAACAGCAUGGUCAAUGCUAAUUUGACAUUUUAUCUGUUAAAGAAAUGCUACAGCUCUCAGCUCAUCCUGAUCAUCAGUCAAUUCUCUUUUCAGGAAAAAAGGCCUCCCCCCGUGAGGGUUUUAGAUGCAUUAUGAGGUCUUUGUGAUGCAAAAUGCUUGACUCAAAAGGGCACUUCUAUGCAUAUUCAUUGAGAGGACUGUAAAACAAAAAGAGGAAUGAAGGAAUCUGAAAGGACCGGGGGAAUGAAGUGAAGAGGAGCGGUGAAAUAAAACAAACAUAACAGGUGGGGAGAGAAGUUUGGCGUUUUAGGAGCUUCCAUCGCCACUCAGGCUCACCGUGCUCCGUCGGUGUGGUUCCUCCUUCCUUCCUCCCUCCCUCCGUCCAUCUCUGUGACUAAUCUGUAACCACUGUUGACAGCAGCACCACACCUUCACCAACUCCAGCUCCCUUCUGUCAAAAUGCCAGACUCUAAUGAAGCUGUGCCAGCAUCCUGCCAGGUCAUCAAAGGGGACAUCGACAAAUGCGUUCAGAAGGGAGCAGAAGACUGUAACGAUCUGCUAGACGCUUUCCAGGCUUGUGUAAAAACACUGUCGGAGGGAUCAUAAUUCAUUCAAUGUAACUCUUUGAAAUGUGAAAAUCCUUGACUUGUCCAGCAUUUGGUUUACUUCACUGAACCAUGUGAAAGGCUGAAGAGCGCCGCUGCACACCUCAAUCUGAUGUUUCUCUCAAGGUUACAUUUCUUUCAUUAAAACAGAAAUCCUGUUAAUAUAACACCAUGAUGCAAUUCUAUUUAUUAAAAGUCCCAUAACACAUAUUUUGUAGUUGUCGUAUUUAAUGUGGCUGUAGUCACCUUCGCAAGGGGUGUAAAGUUUUAAAAUAACGAGAUGGUUGUUGAAACCUCUUUAGCAGCCAACAGUACAGUUGUUCUUAAUGGAAUUAGGAGGAUCCUGUUAAUCUCUGCUUAAUCCUUGGUGGUUGCUGCAGCGAACAGUGUAAUGUCACUUCCAGAGUCUCAGCUGUGUCAGUGGGGGGGCCAGUCUGGAAGAAAACCCACAAAGACGAGUUAUUUCAGCAUUACUCUGCAGA